This 77-nucleotide transfer RNA is filed under the name Candidatus Peregrinibacteria bacterium. RNAcentral describes it as "tRNA-Val". It matches the Rfam family "tRNA". Rfam says of the family: Transfer RNA (tRNA) molecules are approximately 80 nucleotides in length. Their secondary structure includes four short double-helical elements and three loops (D, anti-codon, and T loops). Lineage: Bacteria; Candidatus Peregrinibacteriota. The record is from RNAcentral.
GGGCGAUUAGCUCAGUUGGCUAGAGCAUCUCGUUUACACCGAGGAGGUCGUAGGUUCGAAUCCUACAUCGCCCACCA